CCGGCGGACCGACUAACCUGCAUCUUCAGAUUUGCAAUCUGAUAUGUAUAACACCUCAAGACUUC
RNAcentral lists this transfer RNA (65 nucleotides) under Sebastes vulpes. RNAcentral describes it as "tRNA-Cys". Lineage: Eukaryota; Metazoa; Chordata; Actinopteri; Perciformes; Sebastidae. RNAcentral also lists the same sequence under 1 other name. The record is from RNAcentral.